CAACUGAUGAGAGGAGAGCCUAAUACUUGGCUUUUUAGGGUUUCACCUCUUUCUCUCUCAUUAGUCCCUCACUCCCCCCCUCUCUCUCUCUCUCUCCUCUCCUCCCCUCCCCGUCAUUCACCUCUUUCUCUCAUUUCGAGGAGCAACGAGCAGCGAUUGCGUUCAUCUUGAGACGAGCAACUUGACCGGCGGCUUCUUACAAGAGUUCUCAAGCGGCGUCGUUUUUGGUCGGAGGUGUAACCGGCGGUGACGGAACUCUUGCUCGAAAACCCACUGCGGUUCGACCAGGGUCCGAACCCGGUUAGCGGCGAUUGUGGCGACAUUGAGAACAACCAAGCCCAUAGGCUUCUUCCUCUUUAGAUCUAAAUCGUUGAACGAACCAAUGCUAGUGAGCAGACAAGGGUUCUGUUAACAAGUGCUGCUCAUUUCUAUUUGAGGAAAGCCGAGCUAUUUUACUCUCAGGACCUGCUGUCUUUCAAAAGGUCCACCUCAGAGACUACUCUGGAGCGUCUUUCAGGUCUAUUUGGGUCAUUUUCUGUGCUGCCUGCAAAGGAAGAACCCAAAGAUAAUAUGUUCAAAAUUUUUGAAAUUAUCGGUUAAUUUUUUGGAGACCAAUUUGUCAUUAUAUUCAUUAUACAAAAGAAUCAUAAGGUUGAAAAUUUUCACCGACAAGAGUACAGAUGUAUUAUUAUUUAAACAUAUUAGAACUUAUUAACCAUCUGGUUUGCUACAUUUGCUAUGUACAUUUGCUACAACAUAGUAUAACUGAGAAAUGCUAACAAUUAGAAGAGGAAAUCAAUGUGCAUGUACUAUCUUGCGGAAGUUGUGUUUUUGGCUGCCUUGAUCUGUAUCACACUCCUUGUGUUCCACACUCAUACGUCGAGGUCAACCUUUGUUGGGAUCUUUUGUGACGUCUUUGGGAUCAUUCUCUAUGGUGCACCUCUCACUGUUAUGAUUGGCAAUGGGGUUGGAGCCAUACUUGCCGUAGCACAACUGAUCUUUUACGCUUGCUACUAUGGGUCUACACCGAAGGAGGGGAAGCCCGUGAAGGACCCGGUGAAGCCAACAGCAUCACAAGUGCAGAUGAUUGUUUCUGCCGUCUAAAUAUGAUACUCAGUUUAAUCUAGCUGCCAUUUUAAUUUGUUCUUGUGUUGGCUAGCUUGUGUGUUUUUUGCUAGCGUAGGUAGUGAUUUUGGUUAUAGCUUAAAAACAGUAAUAUUAAUAUGGAUGAGCUUAGGAGAUUUUGAUGUUGUAAUAUGGAUGAGAUUAGGAGAUUUUGAUGUUGUAACAAAAAUUAAAA
Molecule: RNA transcript, 1300 nt
Organism: Chenopodium quinoa (quinoa)
Lineage: Eukaryota; Viridiplantae; Streptophyta; Magnoliopsida; Caryophyllales; Amaranthaceae
Gene name: bidirectional sugar transporter SWEET4-like
Exons: 5
Source: RefSeq, a predicted model, not a curated record